This 379-nucleotide RNase P RNA is filed under the name Hyphomonas sp. Its description in RNAcentral is "RNase P RNA component class A". It matches the Rfam family "Bacterial RNase P class A". From Rfam's summary of the family: Ribonuclease P (RNase P) is a ubiquitous endoribonuclease, found in archaea, bacteria and eukarya as well as chloroplasts and mitochondria. Its best characterised activity is the generation of mature 5'-ends of tRNAs by cleaving the 5'-leader elements of precursor-tRNAs. The record is from RNAcentral. Lineage: Bacteria; Pseudomonadati; Pseudomonadota; Alphaproteobacteria; Hyphomonadales; Hyphomonadaceae.
CCAGAAGGCCGGGCAGCCGCUGGCAUGUGGGUAACUGCAUGCUGGAGGAAAGUCCGGGCUCCAACGAGACAGGGCGACGGCUAACGGCCGCCCGGCGCAAGCCGAGGGAAAGUGCCACAGAAAGCAAACCGCCCUCCGUAGCCUCGGCGAAGGAGGGUAAGGGUGAAAGGGUGGGGUAAGAGCCCACCGCAGGCCUGGCAACAGGGCUGGCAAGGCAAACCCCGCCCGGAGCAAGACCAAGUAGGGGGCACAUAUGGGCCGUCUUAUGCCCGUGCCCCGGGUGUGUCGCGUGAGGCGCUCAGCAAUGAGCGUCCCAGAGGAAUGGCUGCCAGACCCCGCAAGGGGCGAACAGAACCCGGCUUACAGGCCUUCUGGUCCC